CGGAGGGAUCAUUAAAGAGUUCUAUAACUCCCAAACCCAUGUGAACAUACCUAACGUUGCCUCGGCAGGUCGCACCUACCUUGUAGCACCCUACCCUGUAGGGCCUACCCGGGAGGUGCGGGUAAGCCUGCCGGCGGCCCACCAAACUCUGUUUGAUAUUGAAUUCUGAACCUAUAACUAAAUAAGUUAAAACUUUCAACAACGGAUCUCUUGGUUCUGGCAUCGAUGAAGAACGCAGCGAAAUGCGAUAAGUAAUGUGAAUUGCAGAAUUCAGUGAAUCAUCGAAUCUUUGAACGCAUAUUGCGCCCAUUAGUAUUCUAGUGGGCAGGACCGUUCGAGCGUCAUUUCAACCCUUAAGCCUUCGUUGCUUAGUGUUGGGAGCCUACGGCAACGUAGCUCCUCAAAGUUAGUGGCGGAGUUGGUUCACACUCUAGACGUAGUAAUUUUUUAUCUCGCCUAUUAGUUGGACUAAUCCCCUGCCGUAAAACCCCCAAUUUAUCAAGGUUGACCUCGAAUCGGUUCAGACAAACUCGCUAAAUUGAAGCAUCUUAGUCAGCGAAGGAAAAGAAACCAACAGGGAUUGCCCUAGUAACGGCGAGUGAAGCGGCAACAGCUCAAAUUUGAAAUCU
Molecule: ribosomal RNA, 629 nt
Filed under: fungal endophyte
Lineage: Eukaryota; Fungi
Description: eukaryotic LSU rRNA
Rfam family: 5.8S ribosomal RNA (bases 191-344)
Source: RNAcentral